GAUCCAGUGGUGUAAUGGUGAACAUGCCCAGUUAUUGUACUUCGUUGCAACCAGUUUGUGGGAGAUCCCUGUUCAACUCAGGGCUGGGCCA
Mycena rebaudengoi is the source of this 91-nucleotide non-coding RNA. The record is from the annotation of a GenBank genome assembly. Lineage: Eukaryota; Fungi; Basidiomycota; Agaricomycetes; Agaricales; Mycenaceae.